UUUUUUUUCCGUUUCCUA
Molecule: small RNA, 18 nt
Filed under: Arabidopsis thaliana (thale cress)
Lineage: Eukaryota; Viridiplantae; Streptophyta; Magnoliopsida; Brassicales; Brassicaceae
Description: ATSL010760
Source: RNAcentral